Molecule: ribosomal RNA, 595 nt
Filed under: uncultured bacterium
Lineage: Bacteria
Description: bacterial SSU rRNA
Rfam family: Bacterial small subunit ribosomal RNA
Source: RNAcentral
CUUGCUUCUCUUGAGAGCGGCGGACGGGUGAGUAAUGCCUAGGAAUCUGCCUGGUAGUGGGGGAUAACGUUCGGAAACGGACGCUAAUACCGCAUACGUCCUACGGGAGAAAGCAGGGGACCUUCGGGCCUUGCGCUAUCAGAUGAGCCUAGGUCGGAUUAGCUAGUUGGUGGGGUAAUGGCUCACCAAGGCGACGAUCCGUAACUGGUCUGAGAGGAUGAUCAGUCACACUGGAACUGAGACACGGUCCAGACUCCUACGGGAGGCAGCAGUGGGGAAUAUUGGACAAUGGGCGAAAGCCUGAUCCAGCCAUGCCGCGUGUGUGAAGAAGGUCUUCGGAUUGUAAAGCACUUUAAGUUGGGAGGAAGGGUUGUAGAUUAAUACUCUGCAAUUUUGACGUUACCGACAGAAUAAGCACCGGCUAACUCUGUGCCAGCAGCCGCGGUAAUACAGAGGGUGCAAGCGUUAAUCGGAAUUACUGGGCGUAAAGCGCGCGUAGGUGGUUUGUUAAGUUGGAUGUGAAAUCCCCGGGCUCAACCUGGGAACUGCAUUCAAAACUGACUGACUAGAGUAUGGUAGAGGGUGGUGGGAAUUU